GGGUAUUUUGCUCUGAAAGCCACAAGAUUACAAAUACUACAUUCUUUGGGUUCACACAAAUGCACUGGGCACCAACAUGACAUAAUAUUCCACAGCAGCCUAGCAGUUAUCGAUGAAGCCAGAGUGAAAACAAAUAAACACACAAAAGCACUCUCAUGCUCCUGGUUGAAAGGCUAAAGUCUCGUUCUGCUAAAGUACAGUCUAUGUAUCAACAGUAGCUGCUGAAACAUGGUGGAGCAAUAUGGGUCUCAUGCUCCUGGGGAGCAGGAGGGAAGAGGGAAAUCUGAAGCCCCAGGCUGGCCUGGUCUACUUCUACUGAUUCAUGGAAUCAAAUGCCACAGCAAACAGUCCAGCUACAGCCAAAAGACCAACAUUGCAGUUUGA
RNAcentral lists this long non-coding RNA (384 nucleotides) under Phascolarctos cinereus (koala). RNAcentral's name for it is "lncRNA (ENSPCIG00000015467.2)". The record is from RNAcentral. Lineage: Eukaryota; Metazoa; Chordata; Mammalia; Diprotodontia; Phascolarctidae.